CCUUGUACACACCGCCCGUCACAUCAUGGGAGUUGGUUUUACCCGAAGUCGAUGACUUAACCGCAAGGGAAGAGUCGCCUAAGGUAACGGCCGAUGACUGGGAGUG
This 106-nucleotide ribosomal RNA is filed under the name uncultured bacterium. Its description in RNAcentral is "partial 16S ribosomal RNA". It matches the Rfam family "Bacterial small subunit ribosomal RNA", at positions 1379 to 1482 of the family's 1533-position model. The record is from RNAcentral.